RNAcentral lists this ribosomal RNA (402 nucleotides) under uncultured bacterium. RNAcentral describes it as "bacterial SSU rRNA". It matches the Rfam family "Bacterial small subunit ribosomal RNA", at positions 917 to 1322 of the family's 1533-position model. The record is from RNAcentral.
GGGCCCGCACAAGCGGUGGAGCAUGUGGUUUAAUUCGAUGAUACGCGAGGAACCUUACCAGGGCUUAAAUGUAGUGGGACAGGUCUAGAGAUAGACCCUUCUUCGGACUCAUUACAAGGUGCUGCAUGGUUGUCGUCAGCUCGUGCCGUGAGGUGUCAGGUUAAGUCCUAUAACGAGCGCAACCCCUAUCGUUAGUUGCCAGCGGGUAAUGCCGGGAACUCUAGCGAAACUGCCGGUGCAAACCGAGAGGAAGGUGGGGAUGACGUCAAAUCAUCACGGCCCUUACGUCCUGGGCCACACACGUGCUACAAUGGCCGGUACAGAGAGCAGCCACUACGCGAGUAGGAGCGAAUCUACAAACACUAUCUCAGUUCGGAUCGGAGUCUGCAACUCGACUCCGUG